Molecule: non-coding RNA, 171 nt
Organism: Paenibacillus sp. 32O-W
Lineage: Bacteria; Bacillati; Bacillota; Bacilli; Caryophanales; Paenibacillaceae
Source: Rfam
UCCGCCGUGAGGCGGAAUCUGAAGGAAGCCGGAGGCAAAUGCACGGGCCAAGGUACACGAACCCAAUUUGAGGCAGGAUUAGCCGGAUGAGUUGCCCAUACACAACGAAAUCCUAAGCCGCCAAGGGCUAGUUCUGUAGACUUGGGUGGUCGCGGGCGGAAAGAUGACGCU